GGAAAUUCUUUCUUGUUUUGAGAGUCCAUUGACUAAAUUUGAGUUUCAAGUUGGCGGUGAAGGAGUUUUCUGGUGGUCGUGAUCUCCAUAGACAGUUCGUUGCUCCAUUUUACUGCCCUUAAAGAGGUAAAUACACUCCGUUUACCUCCUAAUUUGAUCGCUUUUCUCCUUUGCCUCUUUUCUGCGUAGCUGAUGUUAUUGUAAUCAUGACAUCAUUUUGUUAGGAAUAGUUUGAUGUAGUCAUAGUUGUAAUGUGGUUUUGCUAAGAGCAGCCUCUAUAGCCCUCAUAGAAAAUUCUAAUUGUUCUGGGUUGUUUCCUGGUAGAUGGCUUUCACAGCCGUAGGAAUUAGUCAAAGAUGAUUGUGUUUGUGUUUUCGCUAGAGCGAGGCCCAUGCUACCAUGUCGUUCUGUUAUCUAUUCUGUAUUUUUGACUUUGCUGUUUUGAAUUCUUAUUCUCUCAUUACUGUCAUUGGUUCGUUGCUAAUCUCAUUUUUAGUAUUUUUUGCCUUUUGUAUGAUUGAUUUGUGUGCACAAUAUAUGUCGUUGUGAGUUUGUUACCAUUUUUCCUGUAACUGAAUCUGUUUAAUCACACAAUUGUAGUUUCUUUUUGUGGUGUAUUGUUUUUUUUACUUAACCGUACGUUUAAUAUGUUAGUCUCUCAAUGCAUGUUUCGUGUCUAUCUUUUGAAAUUACUGGAAUGUUAGUUUUCAUGCUAGUCAUCACCUUAUCAUUUUCAUAUCUGAGUAUAUUAAUCUGAUUUGUUGAACCUUAGUCGUUUAGUUUGUGUUCGGGACCUUAGUAUUAUGUCGUGGGUAAUUUUUACUCUCUCGAGUUUGUCUCUCAAAUUUUUGCAGUUGACAAGAAACAUCCUCUAAAGCUCCUAUUGACAAAAAAAUGUCAAGAAAGGGCAAGAGGAUAUGUUAUAUUGAUUUUAAAUCGUCCCACGACCCUUCAAGGACUCAUAUCGACCCUCAAAGUUUUGUACAAACUUGUCGAGAGAAAGCUAGGAUGAAUCAGGUGUCAUGUUGAAUCUUGAAAGUUCGUUUUUAGUGUAUCUUCGUAGGUGGGUGAAAUCUAUGUUAAGAUUUUUAAAGUAAUUGUUUGGAUUGUUUCAUUUACUCCUAUUUGAUUCUAAUCGCGCACCACCACGUUCUGAUUGUGAAUAUGUGACCCACACAUUAUUACUUUUCAUGACUUUGAUGGAAUUUGAUUCUUGUUUCAAGAUCUGUCCAGCUAGAGUUAAUAUUUGGUGUAGUUGCAUACUAGCAUUGAUAAAGGGAAAUCUGGAGUGUGAAUUUUUUGGUACUUUAAGGGGAUGGUCUUUUUCUUUUAUGGGUCGCAACCAUGCGUAGUAAAAAAGGGACUGGAGUCUGGAUUUGAUCACGAAUAGAAUCUUGCCCGUUGUAUUAUUAUUACUAUUGUUAUGAUUGUUUUAUUCCUACUAUUCUAGCUUAGAGAGUAGAUUAACUGCCUUUCAUUGAAUAAGCUGGAUCAUUUUCAUAUCAUUACUUGCUAUUGUCUGGACGUGUGAGAAUGCUCUUUUAAUGAUGUUAUUUACCUUUAAGUAUCUAUCUUUGAACACUUAUUAAUUACUUCGCCUUUCUUUUGCAUGUGGACUCCUUUUCCUUUGCAUGUCUAUUAUGGACCAUUGAGGCCUAAUAACCCUGAGUUGAUUCCGAAGGAAAAUCUCAAGUCGGUUACAUAGCAUAUGGAUACGAAGAUCAACGGAAGAAGAAUGGGUUGAAAUCCCAUAUUCGAAGUGGCUAAGAGACUUAAAAGUCUUAUAUAUUUGCAUAGUUAUUCAGCAUUGCCUUUAUGCAUUCAUUUCUUUGUUGUCUUGUUUCUUUAUUUUAUUCAUUCGGGCCACGAUGCCAAAGUUAUAUUUAAUACAGGUGGAAAAAGAUUCAAGCCGAAGGCUAAAAAAUGUAGAUUAGGACAGGUAGAAGACGGGUCAAAAACCCAAUAUCUAGAUUAGGACCGGGUGACGGAUUUGUGCAUGAAGGCCCAAAUCAUUUAUUUUUUCCUCUCUUUCCCCCUUAUUGUAUUUGCUUUCUUGUUUGAAUCUAGUUAGAUCCUUAGCUAAGUCGCUAAAAAUUUUUGAUUUUGCGAAAACCUUCAAAAUAUUCUUUAAUCAAAUCACUUUUCAACAAAUUGAUUUUUCAAUGUUGGUCAAAAACGAUUUUCAAACAGAUUGGAUAAACGCAAGUUAACGGAUGUUUUAGGUGCCUAACACCUUUCUAAAACGUCAAUAGGAACCACUUACCUGAAAUCUCUUAACUUAAACAAUUUUUCUGUUUUGAAUCGUUUAAGUAUUUUACAAAAGGUUUCUUAAUUUCUUUUCAAAAUUAAGUGGCGACUUUUUAAAAAGUCAAAAUUUCAUCAAAACACUCUCUAUUCUCUCUACUCUUCUUCUUUAUUCUUUAUUAGUUUAUAACAUGUUAUCAGCACGAGACUCUACCAAACAAGGUGAGAUUAUAAAUCUAAAGAUAAUUUUAAGGUUAGUGAUUCUUAUGUUAUUUGUCUUUGGCUACCAAUGAUAUAAUUAUUGUUGGAUUUGAGGAAAAAUAAUUGGUGCCUUCAAUUUGUUCAUGAGGAACAAUGUUGCUAAAAAAUAUGAUGAUUAAUUUAAAUCUUAUUUCAUUAAGAGGGUAAGACAUUGGGUUAAAAAUUUCAAUGCACUAUGAUGAUAAGAUGUUGGUUUCAAUUCCAAUCGAGUUAUGCCUAAGAUGGCUUUAUACGGAUAAGAUCUUGAAAUUGAAUUUCAAUGCACAAUAUUAAUGAUAUUAUGAUGGUUAAGGUAAAAAUAAUAUAUAUAUGAUAAAAAGUCAUGAAACUUGUCCAUUGAAUAUGCUCCAUUCCAUUAAGUGAAUGUGAUAGUAAUAUAUGAUAAGUCUGAAAGAUGACAAUUUGCUCAAUUCUUGAAGAGAAUGUGGUAGCACUAUAUGAUAUAUGCUUUGAUAGAUAUAUAUGCCUCGAUGUGCUCCUGAUGUAGUAAUAUUAUGAAAGAGGUUAUAAGCCAUCAAAAUUUGAAAGGCUUAAAGCACGAUUAUAUUUCAUUCCUGGGAAUGAAAAGUUUAUUAAUGCAAACGUGCACUUGAUUGUGAUGGCAUCACAACUCACCUUCGAAAGAGGCUGAAUAAUUGAGAAGGGUUAUUUUGAAUAUUUUGAAACCUACUUCUAAAGUAGUAAAUUUGAAAUUUAUUCAAGUCAUAAUAAAUCUGAAAUUUACUGAAACAAAAAGCACAUAUCAUGGUAAACUUGGAGUUUACUAGAAUAAAUAUUCAUAAAUUGACAUGAACGAUUGCGACAUUCCAAAGAUAUGCAUACUGAGUAUUGAACAUAUAUUGAAGAAUUAGAAAAUUCUUCAUUACUUUUAAUGCUUCUUAUUCUUAUGAUAAGUUGGUUGGACUAUGAUACGGGACAAAUGACCAUCUUAUCUUUUGAUGACAUCUUUGGAGGCCAACACAUAGAGGCUCAAGACUUGGUCACCUUGAGGAUACGAGAACAUUCUUAGAGGACCUGUUUCUAGCCAACCAUUAGGCCUACCAUAAAUCAAGGCCGUGAGUGAAAGAUUGCUUGGAGCAUUGAAGACUUGAGAACUCACGACUUUGGACAUUUAAUGGCUCACAAUUUUGGGUCAUCUUUAUUGAGGACAUUUUGGUCACUUUACUUUGCCCAAAAUGCACUCCAUGGUCGCCCCUGUCAUUAAGGGUUGUGUAGUCAUUUUGUCUCCUUUUGUAAUAUACUACAAAUAGGAUAUUUUAGGUCUUCUCUUAGUAGUUGUUUAUUGAUGAAAAUGUGAGACAUUGAAAAUCCUCUCUCUUAAGAGUAGAAUACCUUAGUGUAGUUCUUAGUUAGGGCUUCGAUUAGCCAUUAUAGUUUAGGGCUUGGAAAAGUCAAUAUUGUUCUUUGCUUGAAAACGGUGGAUCUUGAGGUGAGUUGAUUUCCUUGGCGGUCACCGUAAGAGUGUGGUGUUGUUGUUACAUUCAUUAGGGGUUUUUGAGUUUAAUAUAAUCUUUAGUUUCUAAUCUUUGUAAUAAUCUAUGUCUCACUAUCUAUCUUUACCUUUCUUAGAAUUGUGUUAGUGUUUGUAUCUUAUAAUCAUUUGUUCUUGUUG
Molecule: long non-coding RNA, 4117 nt
Filed under: Capsicum annuum
Lineage: Eukaryota; Viridiplantae; Streptophyta; Magnoliopsida; Solanales; Solanaceae
Description: long non-coding RNA (CANN_LNC009669)
Source: RNAcentral